AAUUAAUUGGUAAUUUUAAAGGGAAGAAGCUUUACAUUUAGAUAUGUAAAAUAAAAUAUGUAAUUAUGGUUAAUAUUAUUUAGUAUACAUUUAAGUAUUGUUAGAUAUAAAAUAAAGCAACCGGUUAAAACAAUUCCUUCCAAUUAUGUCAGUAUGGAAGGGGGUUGGAACCCCCCUUUUUUUUUGGACGAUCAAUGCAUUUGAAUGGGAGCAUAUAGUUGGAACCCCCCCUUUACUCUGGGCUGGGAACCCCCCCUUUUUGAAAUGGCUGGAUCCGCCACUGGUUCUCUAUGUACUUGUGAUGCUGUAGUGAUAGUUAGAUUUGACAUCAAAUUUAGCAAAUGGCCAAAAUGAGUGUGAAUUUAGGGUAGAACAAAGGCAGAACAUUAAUUUUUUUUAUGCUUUUUGAACAUUUGUAUGUGAAUAGUAGGUUAUUUAAUAUAUCUGUGAUCAAAUAUCAUUUGAACAAAUGUGUGAUUUACUUUAAGUUUUGCGGUCAUUUUUACAUCUGUUGCCAAAAGUUAUGAUGUUGUAUUUAUAUAUUUUAUUAUUUUUAUCUUGUGUGUGACUGUUAUGAAGUUUGCCUGAAUGUGAUUUUCUAAUGUAUAAUUACAUAUCGUUACAUUUUAAUUUACAAAUAUAUGAUGAACAACUAUUAUAUUAGAAUUCUUCCAAACCAUAUCACUUUAUUAAUUAAAUUGAUUUUGAAGAUUAUUAAUAAUAAUUUACAAACUGUUUUAUUGGUAGGUAGCCACUGUACUACAAAGUGACAAAAAUUAUUAGGAUUUGAUCUAUUGUGUAGCUAUAGUUUGAUAAAUAAGUUAACAAUUAAAGAAACUGAUAUGUUGGUAAAAUAAUUCUCUUAAAAACAGGGUCGAUAAGAAAACCAUAUAACACUAAUAUUUAUUAAUUGACAAAACCUCUGAUAGACAAAUGAUACUUAUUCUCAGGAGGAAUUCUUUUUGUGGACUGGGCACCUCACCUUGAAUAUUGAAAUUCUUUUUAGAUCUUGAAUGUCUCUAGUUUGAAGAAUGCAUAAAGGUUAAGAUAUUUUGUUUUAAAUGUCUUUCAUUGCUGUGUGUGCAUAAAAAUCAGAUAGAAAUAUUGUAAGAAUGAACAAAGAUUUUCUUAUGCCAUUUAUAUUAAAGUAUUAAAUAAUAUAUACUAACUGGAAUAGCUUUCAACCCACUAUGGUAGCAUUGAAAAAAACUCUCUAAGUUUGAAGAGCACAAAAUUUUUCAUCCCAAAUAGUUCUUUCAAAGAAGUGAAAUAUGGUGGUUAAAAUUUUAUGCAGCAUGAUAGAUUUAUUAGGAAAGACUUACAAUGUGUGAAGUGAACAAAUAGGAGAAUAAAUUAAGUAAAUUAAAUUAUAUCUAGUAUCAACAUACAAAUAUGACAUAAUAACUGAAUUUUUAAAAGAAUUUUCUAUGAAUGCAAACAAAAGACUUGUAAGGAGUUUCAACUUUUCCCCAUCUGGUGCAAAAAAUCAAAUGUUACAUAAUCAUCCCAAUGUUAGAAAGAGCUAUCAAGGCAAAUGUAAAUAUACUUCCCCUUAAAACAAAACCCAGUUGUAUCAUUCAGACCAAAAUAAUUAUAUUGAAUAUUGUUUACUAAGAUAUUUUUAACAUACAGAAUAAAUGUAUUACAUAUUGUUUCAGUUUAGGAGUGUGAGCGACGUCUUCAUUUGAGAGCAGUAUUUAGUCAUUACCCACCAAUAUAUUUCAUUGCAUUAUUUUUUUUCGACAUCUAAUAUGCUUAAUGACACCUCAUGAAAUUGCUUCUGACAUGAGUAAAAAAAUGUGUUCUAUUCAAACUUUGUCCUAAGAAUCAUGGUGUAACAAUCACAAACUUGUGUUUUUUGGUUGCUGUUUCAUUUAUAUAUUUCUUAAUGUCUUCUUUAGAUAAUAUUUACAAAAACAAGUUAAAUUGUAUACAUUUGUAGCUUUGCUACAGUGAAAAAGACUGAAACAAGACUUAAAUAAAUCUUGCUAAUUUACCCUUUUUCAAUUAUUCUGAUAUUAACAUGAACUGUAUAAAUCUUGCCAAUUUAGCAAUGUUUCUAGUUAUGAGUCUAACAAAAACUAGAUACUUUUUGCUAAACAUUUGUUUUAUAAUGAGUUAACAAGAACUAGAUGAAUGUUGCUAUACAAGCUUUAUCCAAAUCUUCAUACUGCAACAGUCUGUGUACGAUUACAGAAUUGUGCUUAACAUGAUAAUGUAAAGAUCACAGGCAUACUGUUUACUUAUUGUUGUGUCAGCAUAUAUAUAGGGUACACAUGGUCUACAUGGUAUCCAAGCUCUGUCUUUUAUUUUAAAACAGUAAUUUCAUGAACCAAAGGUGUGUAUAUUGUUAAGAUUGUGCUCAAUUUUGUUUUACCAAAUUACAUGUGAAGUGCAUUAAGACACACCCAGUGUCAUAGUGUUGCGCAGGAGCAUUCUUCACUUUAUAUCUUGGUGAUUUGAGACGCAUUUGAAUGAAUCAGUGAAAAUAUACUUUCUGUUGGUAGUGUAUGUAACAUAUCAGUGCAGGCAAUGACUAUUUUUUUUGUUUGUUAAUUGUUAUUUGUUUAUUUAUGUAGCAUAUUCUUCAUAUAUAUAAUUAUUAUUUUAUAAAAAUUUACUUACUUCCUGUGUUAUUUAAUUAAGUUUUAAAUUGUUUUAGAUUUUUAGGGUAUUGUCAUAUUUACACU
Molecule: long non-coding RNA, 2690 nt
Filed under: Mytilus galloprovincialis (Mediterranean mussel)
Lineage: Eukaryota; Metazoa; Mollusca; Bivalvia; Mytilida; Mytilidae
Source: RNAcentral